This 222-nucleotide ribosomal RNA is filed under the name uncultured bacterium. RNAcentral's name for it is "partial 16S ribosomal RNA". It matches the Rfam family "Bacterial small subunit ribosomal RNA", at positions 113 to 334 of the family's 1533-position model. The record is from RNAcentral.
CGACGUAAAGAACUUGCCUCACAGAUAGGGACAACAUUUGGAAACGAAUGCUAAUACCUGAUAUUAUGAUUUUAGGGCAUCCUAGAAUUAUGAAAGCUAUAUGCGCUGUGAGAGAGCUUUGCGUCCCAUUAGUUAGUUGGAGAGGUGACGGCUCACCAAGGCGAUGAUGGGUAGCCGGCCUGAGAGGGUGAUCGGCCACAAGGGGACUGAGACACGGCCCUU